RNAcentral lists this long non-coding RNA (210 nucleotides) under Prunus persica (peach). RNAcentral describes it as "long non-coding RNA (PPER_LNC002266)". The record is from RNAcentral. Lineage: Eukaryota; Viridiplantae; Streptophyta; Magnoliopsida; Rosales; Rosaceae.
CUGGGUUGACCAUUUUGGGAAUUUAAUAGCUUAAUGAACCUUAGGUCUUUUCAAACCAUUCCUCCUGUCAAACAUGUUUAAAAUGGGCUUAGGAACCUUCGUAAGUUAUGUACACGCACUUUUGAGGCCAGGGGUAAGGGUUUUGAUUAAACAUCUAUGGUUGAGCAAUCUUAUUAAUUAAAUGGUUUUAAUUGCUUAAAUAGGUACUCG